UCAUUCUGGAUGGUAGUGUAUUGGACUACCAUGGCGAUCACGGGUAACGGGGAAUUAGGGUUCGGUUCCGGAGAGGGAGCCUGAGAAACGGCUACCACAUCUAAGGAAGGCAGCAGGCGCGUAAAUUACCCAAUCCUGACUCAGGGAGGUAGUGACAAGAAAUAACAGACCGGUUCCCUCUGGGAUCACGGGAUUGUAAUGAGGACAAUGUAAACAACUUCACGAGAACCAAUUGGAGGGCAAGUCUGGUGCCAGCAGCCGCGGUAAUUCCAGCUCCAAUAGCGUAUAUUAAAGUUGUUGCAGCCCCAAAGCUCGUAGUUGAACUUCUGGCCGGAGGCUACAUUCUCUCUGAGAUAGUGGUUAUAUCUAGGCCAUCCUCUCGGGAACCAUAUGCUCACUUAAAUGGGAGAUGUGCGGAACGGGAUCUUUACUUUGAAAAAAUUAGAGUGUUUCAGGCAGGCUUACGCCCGAAUAUUACAGCUGAGAAUAAUGGAAUAGGACUGGGUCCGUUUUGUUGGUUUUUACAGGAUUCAGAAAUGAUUAAAAGGGACAGUUGGGGGCAUUAGUAUUUAAUUGUCAGAGGUGAAAUUCUUGGAUUUAUUAAAGACUAACUAAUGCGAAAGCAUUUGCCAAGGAUGUUUUCAUUAAUCAAGAACGAAAGUUAGGGGAUCAAAGACGAUCAGAUACCGUC
RNAcentral lists this ribosomal RNA (691 nucleotides) under uncultured ciliate. RNAcentral describes it as "SSU rRNA". It matches the Rfam family "Eukaryotic small subunit ribosomal RNA", at positions 315 to 1019 of the family's 1831-position model. The record is from RNAcentral. Lineage: Eukaryota; Ciliophora.